RNAcentral lists this ribosomal RNA (247 nucleotides) under uncultured bacterium. RNAcentral's name for it is "partial 16S ribosomal RNA". It matches the Rfam family "Bacterial small subunit ribosomal RNA", at positions 89 to 339 of the family's 1533-position model. The record is from RNAcentral.
UGACGAGUGGCGGACGGGUGAGUAAUGCAUAGGAAUCUGCCCAGUAGCGGGGGACAACUUGGUGAAAACCAAGCUAAUACCGCAUACGCCCUACGGGGGAAAGCAGGGGAUCUUCGGACCUUGCACUAUUGGAGGAGCCUGCGUUGGAUUAGCUAGUUGGUAGGGUAAAGGCCUACCAAGGCGACGAUCCAUAGCUGGUCUGAGAGGAUGAUCAGCCACACCGGAACUGAGACACGGUCCAGACUCC